GACAUAGAGGAUGGUUACAGUUUCCAAGUAUACCAGUGGAUAUAUCUACUCCUUUUCUGCUCUGACAAGUUUUGCUUCUUAUAUUUUGAAGUGUUGGGGAAGACAGUCUUUGAGCAUCUGCUCUCCUACAUCUCCUACUGUGUGCACCAAGAUGGCAAACCCUGACCACUCUUACCUGGGCCAUUUCUCAGCACUGGGCAUGGAGGUGCCCAAAGCACUGAGGAUCACAAGUUGGAAUGUGGUGGCCACUGUAGGGGGAAGAAGCCCCAGGGCUCAGGCACCAGAAACUGGGAGGAAGAAGUGCCCAUGCUCAGACCAUGAGAAGAUGAGGGCAGCAUCCACACGCGUCUUGCUCAUCACUAAGGUCGGUCAGUCAGCGAACUUGUAAGGAGAACCUGCUCUGUGCCCACUAUUGCGUUGGGCUCCACCAUUCCUAAGGACGAAACGUGGACCUUGCCCACUGCUCUUUGCCUGUUGUCUGCCGAAAUGCUGGAGCUCAGCGUUAACUGCCUGCCUGCCAGAAGGCUCCGGGUCCUUGUAUUUUGAGAAGGAAGUUGGCCUGGAGCAGCCGGCCCCGUCAGAUCCAUCAGGAUUUCCCCCAGAGCGCACAUUGCUCACGGACUCGGCCCCCUUCCUCUUGCACCCCGGGCCCAAGUCACCUCUGGUGAGAACACAGGGGAACAGUAGAGACUCGUCGAAAUUGGUCUAACCCAGAGUUUCACGCACGUGUGUCAUCAGGAUCCAUUUCCCACCGAACACCUUUUAAGAUUCCAGGCAACCCCGACUGGGAAACUCCUGGAUGGCCG
Leptonychotes weddellii (Weddell seal) is the source of this 806-nucleotide non-coding RNA. The record is from RefSeq and is a predicted model, not a curated record. Lineage: Eukaryota; Metazoa; Chordata; Mammalia; Carnivora; Phocidae.